This 254-nucleotide ribosomal RNA is filed under the name uncultured bacterium. RNAcentral describes it as "partial 16S ribosomal RNA". It matches the Rfam family "Bacterial small subunit ribosomal RNA", at positions 524 to 776 of the family's 1533-position model. The record is from RNAcentral.
UACGUAGGGCGCGAGCGUUUGUCCGGAAUUAUUGGGCGUAAAGAGCUCGUAGGCGGUCUGUCGCGUCGGUUGUGAAAACCCAAGGCUCAACCUUGGGCCUGCAAUCGAUACGGGCAGACUAGAGUACUGCAGGGGAGACUGGAAUUCCUGGUGUAGCGGUGGAAUGCGCAGAUAUCAGGAGGAACACCGGUGGCGAAGGCGGCGACCUGGUCCUUGACUGACGCUGAGGCGCGAAAGCGUGGGGAGCAAACAGG